GGAGGAAUACCCAAGUCCGGCUGAAGGGAUCGGUCUUGAAAACCGACAGGAGCUUAACGGCUCGCGGGGGUUCGAAUCCCUCUUCCUCCG
Staphylococcus capitis is the source of this 90-nucleotide non-coding RNA. The record is from Rfam. NCBI's taxonomy places the organism in Bacteria, Bacillati, Bacillota, Bacilli, Caryophanales, Staphylococcaceae.